Molecule: transfer RNA, 73 nt
Filed under: Dictyocaulus viviparus (bovine lungworm)
Lineage: Eukaryota; Metazoa; Nematoda; Chromadorea; Rhabditida; Metastrongylidae
Rfam family: tRNA
About the family: Transfer RNA (tRNA) molecules are approximately 80 nucleotides in length. Their secondary structure includes four short double-helical elements and three loops (D, anti-codon, and T loops).
Source: Rfam by way of RNAcentral
ACUUCGAUAGUGUAAUAGAUCAGCACAGCAGAUCGGAUAACUGUAAAUGCGGGUUCAAAUCCCGCCUGAGGUU